UUCUUCAUCAGAUAUAAUUGUCUCGGAGG
Molecule: non-coding RNA, 29 nt
Filed under: Mus musculus (house mouse)
Lineage: Eukaryota; Metazoa; Chordata; Mammalia; Rodentia; Muridae
Source: RNAcentral